RNAcentral lists this long non-coding RNA (802 nucleotides) under Carica papaya (papaya). RNAcentral describes it as "long non-coding RNA (CPAP_LNC015557)". Lineage: Eukaryota; Viridiplantae; Streptophyta; Magnoliopsida; Brassicales; Caricaceae. The record is from RNAcentral.
AGCACGUUUUUGGUUUUAGUGUAAGGGAUGUUGAUCGAAAUUCUGACUUCGCUUCCGCAUUUGACAUUUUUAAUACACAUAUUUCAUUUUAAAUUUUCGGAGCCGUUACACUAGCCGCCAGAACCCUCGCCGGAGAAGACGAUCCAGCCACCGGAGGAGCCGGUCGCCGCCACCCGCUGCUGCACUAGAGGAUUUUUCGGCUGCCAAACGAGGUAAAAUUUCUCCCCUUGGCUCGUUUUUCGAUGCUGAACCUCCUUGUGGCCAAAUCAGAGCCAAAUCACCAGCAGAUUGGCCGAAAAACACUGCCGAAGUCUAGCGGCGCUGUCGUGGGUUUCCUCAAUUUUUGCCUCCGAUGAGGCCCUUCCCGAAUCCCAUUUGAUGUAAUUUUUAUACCACUGUGACCACCGUCUUUUUUUCUACAGUUGACUAGAGCAAAACACCAAAUCACAACUCGUGCCGGAGGAGCCGCCGUACCCGAGAGCUUCGCCGCCGGUAAGUCUCAGUUUUCUGAAAUUUUUUGGACCACCGAGGGCCCUAGGGGUGUUUUAUCACAAGAAACAAUGCAAGUUUGGCCGAAUUCAGCUGAAAACGGUCAGAAACGGCCAACCCGAGGUGGAUCGCCGUCAGAGCACGGCGGCUCCGCCGUGCCAGAAUUCUGAAAUUGGCCGAAAGGGCCCUGGGUCUGAUUUGGAAUUUUUUGGGGACAUGUGCAGGUACCGGAAGUGUGUUUUAGUUUUCGAAAAAAUUUCAGAGAAUCUAGGGAUUGCCUAUAGGCGCAGUGAGAACUCGAUUUGAGACUCCG